RNAcentral lists this long non-coding RNA (29719 nucleotides) under Trifolium pratense (red clover). RNAcentral describes it as "long non-coding RNA (TPRA_LNC012998)". The record is from RNAcentral. Lineage: Eukaryota; Viridiplantae; Streptophyta; Magnoliopsida; Fabales; Fabaceae.
AGAGAAGAGAUCAAACACCUCGCCACCUCCAUAUUUCACCCAUAACCUCUACAAAUCACCACCACCAUUUUCUAUCAAUAAAAAUCACCAUAACCUAUAACUAAAAAACCAGCAAAUGAAAACCAAAUAAACUGAUCAGAGAUGAAGAGAAGAGGAUAGACACAGCCACCGCCGUUUCUGGACUACCACCGCACAUCACCACCAUCUCCGGCCGGAACUUCCACCGUCGCAGCCCCACACCACUUCAACUCAACGGCCAGUCUUCUCUCUCUUACUCUUUCUCUGUAUCUCUAUCUUUAUUGGUUUAUCCUGAUUGAGAAACAACGUAACGCCUUGUUACUGGUUGCCGGUUGGUCAUAGCAGAAGAAACUCUAGGUCUACUUUCUUACUUUUAUGUAUUUUUAUUUAAUUUUAAUAUCUUUUUUCAUUGUUUUAACCUUGCAAUUUGGGCUCAGCCCACAUGUAUAAAAAUUAGGUUUAUAGGUUUACUGCACCUUCCAAACAAAAAGAGAAAAAUCAAUUAAAAUAAAAAAACAAAAAAUAUAAAUUCAAAGUAACUUUUUUUUUUAGGCUUAAUCGGUUGGACAUCUCUUUAGUUUUUUAAAGAGAAAUUGGUGAGAGAGAAAUUGAAGAGAAAUGUCUAUUUUCUCUUAAUUGGUUUGGUGAGAAAUAGGAAAGAGAGAAUAAAUUUAUGUGAGCCCAAUUACUUUUUAUGGUCUCUCCAAGAAUGAGAAGAAAAGGAGAAGAGAAGCCAAUUUUUACUCAAUUCCAUUAUUACCCUUGCAUCUUCUUCCCUUAUCUAGUUUGUCGCUGGGUUUUGUUUUUCUUUUAACAGGAGUGCUUUGCUCCAUUUCCAUUUUCAUUACUCUUGCAUCUUCUUCCCCUAUCCUAUAUAUGCCUUUUUUUGGUGUUGUUUUAUUGCAUUUCUAUAACAAAUUCCUUUCGAUUCUACCGACAAUGAUCAUGAUCAAAAUACAAUUUCCGAUGUUUUUAUUUUAUUUCUUUGGCCAUUUAUCUUUUUUUUUUUUACGGUUGAUAAAAAAAUUAAUUUUAUAUUGGCUGUCUAUUUCAAAGAUAAAUGUAAUUUAUAAACCAAUCAAAACUAAUUAAUUAAUUAAUUAAUUAAAUGAUGAAUUGAAUAAAAAAAUUAAAUUAAUUUUGGUUAAGGUGCUUUUAAUUCAAUGGCAUUUUUGUACUUUCAAAAACAAUCAACACUUCUCUCUUCUCAAUUUCUCUCAUUUUUCUCUUAUACUAAUCAAUACACUAAAUCUACUCUAAUUCUCACCUCUUUCUCUCUUCUCUUACUCUCUCUCUCACCUAUUUCUCUCUUCUCACUUUCUCUCGACAACUAAACAUACCAUUAAUGUGAGAGAUGAGAGGGUUGAAUCACAACCCUUGGAUCAAAUCAAAUGCCAACAAUUUUUUACAGCUGCUCACACACAAUUAGUCUCACAUCGUGUCUUUCUCUCUCUCGGUUACUCAAAAAUGACUUCUCCACUUCUUACCAUUGAUGCAUCAUCUGUGUUCUUUCUUCUUAAAAAAAAAUCAUGACUUUUAAAUUGAAAAAUGAAACAACUUAAAUUGAAUGGAAAGAUGCAUCAACUUCCUCAUCUUCUUCCCGUGUUCUGUUUUCAAACACCAACAAUCACCACAUCUUCAGUUGCGACUUUGUACUGACAAACCCAUAAAUUGCUUAAUAGGAAGUAGCAAAUUUUUUUUAAGCUUAAUAAGAGGACACAAAGUAGAUCAUCUAAUUUACCAAUAUCACUUAAAAAUUGAAAAACGCAUAAAUUCCCAUCUUUUCCCUUUAUGAUUGACUCAAACUGCGUAGUACCAAAUUUGAAAGAAACAAAUUGUUCACCAUAAAAUUGGUCCAAUUUCAUAGAAUUUCCUUAGAAUAUUCUAAUUAUUUUCUAUGUACCAAUUCUCAUUGGGAAUAAAAGUGAAAUUGUAGAGAGAGUGACGGAUUCUCACUUCUCAUGCCUAUAAUCUUCCAACAGAAAGUUAAACUAUUUCACAAUGAAUCUUCUCACUUCUCAUGCCUAUAAUCAACCACUACAUCCAGGCAUACAAAUUAUUUAAUCUCGUGGCUGACAUUUAACCCUCUCACUAUCUCAUUUUAAAAUUCAUCUUAUUUGAAAGUCUCCCUCAGUGAGGUCUAAGUUAGCAAGGUGCACCUUUUUCCUUUGAACAUAAAUAUCCUUCUUUCACAAUUUUAAUUAAAUUUAAAAUGAAGGGUAAUUUGAUAGUUUUACAAAAAAAACACAAAACCCUUUCAUCAUUCCUUAAAAUUCUCAACCAAUUAUUUUCCGAUCACUAUCAUCUUCAUCUUCUUACCGUGGCCAUUGUUGCAAUCUAAACAAUACUCCAUGUUACACUAAUUUCUAGCUGCGUCAGCGUGAAUCCAACACGUAUUCUCAACCAAUUAUUGAAUAUAAAACCCAUAAGCAACUAAAUAAAUAAAAAAUCAAGAGGAGAACAAAGAAGAUGACAAAACAAAGCGAUAAAAAAAUCUGCAAUUACAAUUAUUCUACAAAUAAAGAACAAAGAAUAUGAUAGCUUUGAUUGCAAUUGCAGAGGAGAACAAAUAAGAUAAAACAAAUCUAGCACAAUUGAAGAAGAAAACAUAACAAAGAAGAUGAUAAAACAAAUCUUUCAUGAGAAAUUAGGGAGAGGUUUAGCACAAUGAUGAAGAUGAUAGCUUUGAUUGCAAUUGCAGAGGAGAACAAAGAAGAUGAUAGGUUCGAUUGGGUUGCAGCGGAGGAAGAUGAAGAGGAAAACAGAAGACAAAGCGAAUCCNNNNNNNNNNNNNNNNNNNNNNNNNNNNNNNNNNNNNNNNNNNNNNNNNNNNNCUAAAAGAAAGAAAAAACAAAACAAAAAGAAAAACUAUUCACGAAGAAAGAAGGUUCUCAUAGCGUCGUUUCUAAGAAGAUCACGAAUGCCUUCUGGAGGAGAAGCAUGAGUCAAGAAGUCAGCAUCUGAGGAGGCUCCAAGUUUAGCGAAGAAAUCAGCACAUUGAUUCCUCUCUCUAAGUGUGUGAUAAAGAGAGACAUUGGUUUGAGAGAUCAGCUCCUUUAUAUCUUGGAUCAACACAGCAUGAAUAUGAUACUUAACUUGAGGACCAUUGAUGAGGUUGAUACAGUGUAAAGAGUCAGAGUAGCAAACAAGUUCAUCAAUACUCAUAUCUUUGGCCAACAAGAGGCCCUUGAGGACCAUGAAUGCGUAUUUUGAUUCUGUUAAGUUUUUUUUUAAUUUAUUCUUUAAUUCAUGAAAUACAAUUGACAUAACUACCCUUUUAUUUAUAACAGACUUGAGUAGUGGUAAUUGGUUUUUUUGUCAAAAGUAAAAAGGUACACCUUGCUAACUUAGACCUCACUGGGUCUAAGUUAGCAAAUCCCUAUAUAUAUAUAUAUAUAUAUGAGGAGGGAUCCGUUGACUCCAGGAGUAAGUCUCUAUUGACUUACUACGCUUAAUAACUCGAUAUCGGCAUUAUAUUUCUUUAAUCCAACCGUUGAAUUCAAAGAUCUCANNNNNNNNNNNNNNNNNUAUAUAUAUAUAUAUAUAUAUAUAUAUAUAUAUAUAUAUAUAUAUAUAUAUAUAUAUAUAUAUAUAUAUAUUUGAGAUUCACUCUAGGAACUUUUAAGAAAAUUUUUUCAAAAAAUAUUUAUGACUAUAAUAAAUGUGCACAUUUAUUAUACCUAUUUUUAUUUUUUCGAAAAAUAUUUUAUAAUAUAUAUAGAAAUGGCUUAAUAUAAUUAAAAUAAUAUAAUUAACAUGUGUAAAAUUUAAAUAUAAUUAGAACCUUACAAAACCAUAUUAUUAUUAUUAAAAAUGAAUUUUCUUACAUGACUUCUUUGAAUAAAAAAUAUGCGUUAUUAAAAUAGAUUAUUUUAAUGAAAAAAUUAUUUAGAUGCAUGAUUUUAAAUUGUAAAAAAAGAAACACUUUACGCAACAAGAAAACGUGUUUAAUAGAAACUUUAUUUGCAUUCGAUUGCUCAAACAAAGUUAGAAAUAAUAUUUUUUUUUUGCUACUACACAAAAUUGGUGAAAAAGACAUUCUCAAUAUUUAUUACAUUUUAUUUUUUCAAAAAAUCAAAAAAACUACUCCCUCCGUUUUCGUUUAAGUGUUCAGUCUCGUCAGAUUUAGCGUUUUUAAUUAACUGUCCAUUUUCUAUUUUAAGGAUACGAUUUGUCAAUUGUACACUUUGUCAAUUAUUCUUAUCUUUUUCAAUAAAACAAAUUAAUGCUAUAUAUUUGAAAAACUAAAGUUUUUUGUUUUUUUUUGUACAUAACAUAUUAAAUUUUUGUUUUUUUUUUUACAUAAUAUAUUAAAUUUAUUGAAAAAAGAAAGUGUGUGAAAAAAAAAAGAGGGUAUAAUAGGAAGAUAAGGAGCAAAAAUCUACUUUCUUAUUUUGUGUUACUAUUCAUAACCGGACACUUAAACGAAAACGGAGGGAGUAUAUACAAUUGUUAUAAUAAAAAGGUAAAAUACAUUUUUUGAUAUUUACCUUUUUAUUUUUUUUCAAACAUUACCCUAUUUAUUUUAUUUUUUCGAAUAAUUAAAAAAAUUAUAUACAAUUAUUAAAUAUAUUAAAAUUUUUAAAAGCAAUAAUUUUCAUAAAAUAUUAUUAAAAAAAUAUUCUAAACACUUUAUGUAGGCCCUUUCUGAUAUAUUUAUGAUGGGUGUAGCAUUCAAAUUUUAAAACACGGGAGGGAGGUUCUUUAGAUUAUAAUAGUGGCUAGACUCAAUUUAGAAAAAUAAAGAAUUUAGGGUUUGAAGUUCGGCCCCCUAAAUAAUGUCAAAAUUUUUAGACCACGGGAUGGAACUUUUACAAGUAUAUGAAUGAAUCCAUGUUUAUUAUAAAUUACUUAUAAGUUUUAAAAUUUCAAUAUUUGGUCCUUUGAUCCUUGACUAUGGUGUAUAGAAAUUAAUAUACACUUUCAACUUUUUUGCUAGAACACCUUCAAAAAUAGGGUAACCAAAUGUACAUUUAAAUAUAUUAUUAAAAAAAUAUAUAUUUUAAUCUAAUUAUUAUUAAAAUACAAUAAAAUAUUUCAUAAUAUAUUAUUAAAUAAUUUAUAUUUUUAUAAGUAAAAACUCACCCGUGCAAUGCACGGAUAAUUUAUACUAGUUAUUAUAUAUAUAAUAAUGCUCAAAAUAAGUAAUAUCAUCUGUAUUUAAUUUUUAUUUUGUUUUGAACUAUAUUAAACUAUAAUUAAUAGAAGGGAAAUUCUAUGAUAGAGUCUCUAAAUUGACUAUUUUGAUAGAGUCACUUGUCUGACCAAUCAGAAAGCAGAGAUGACUUAAUCAAUGCCACGUAAGAUUAUAUUAUACAUCUCACAUAUCAUGCACCCUCAUAUCUUUUAUUAUUACAACUAAGUCCCUAAUAAUUUAAAAGUGACAAAAUUAUCCCAAUCUUUAUAUUAUUUAUUAAUUUGUAUUUUAUUCUAAAAAUCAAAUAAAACACAAAUUAAAAACAUUCUCAAAAACAGUCUUCACAAAACAGCAUCGACGAAGCAUGUUCUUCACAAUCGCUUAUCUCCACUGAAACCUGAUUUCCAUCGCUUAUCACCAUCGCUUUUCUUUUGUUCCCAACACGCAGACGAACAUUUCCUAUUGCUCCCAUUCAAUCGCUUCAUUGGAGGUCAAAAUUGCUUGUGUGAGUAAGGUAAAUUCGAUUGGCUUUGUUAUGUUUGGUUCAAAUUAGUUGAAUAAUUUCGAAUUAGGGGUGAUAAAUUUGUUAUGUGUGCGUAAUAAUUUUGAAUUGGUUUGUUAAGAUUUAAUAAUUUCGAAUUUCAAUUGGGGGUGAUAAAUUUGUUUUCAAAUUAGGAAUUAGGGUUUAUGGUUGAAUGUGUUUUCUAUAAUAGGGUUUCAAAUUUAGUAAUUUUGAUUUUCAAUUAAUUAAGUUACCUAUGAUUUUAGUUACUUUUGAAUUUUGAAGUUGCAAUGAAAUUAGGAGGUUUUGUGACGGUUAUUGAUUUUUUGUUGUCUUAAUUCCAUGAAUUAUGUUGAUGUUGAGUCAGGUUUAAUAUGGAAAACUGCGACGAUUCUGUUGAUGUUGAUUCCAAUCACGUUCAUUCCACUGAUGGUGAUACAUCUCAUGUUGAAUUGAAUGACGAUGAGGAUGACAGUUAUUCGGUAUCAAGUGGCGAUGAUGCUGACGAUACAUCUCAAAGUUCAGAUAAUGGCGAUGAUGCUGGCGAUACAUCUCAAAGUUCAGAUAAUGGCGAUGAUGCUGAUAAAAGAGAUGAUGAUAAACCUGUUGAAGUAAAUGCAGUUGUAGGUGAUGGAGUGGGGUAAGUAUAAAUUCUAUGACUUCUGAUGAAAUCCGUGCUUUGGAAUUUGGUACUGUUGAUGAAGCAUGUGAAUUUUAUUAUCGGUAUGGUAAAUCUAAAGGUUUUGCCAUUAGGAAAAGUGAAAUUAGGAGAAGAGGCCCUGAAGGUAGUAAAAAAAUAGUAAUGAGGCAGUUUGUAUGCAAUAAACAUGGGUUAAGAGCGAAGAAAUACUUGUGCAAGAUAGAUAGGAAAAGAGAGCACAGACGUUUGACCCGUACUAAUUGCGCAGCUAGGCUUCAUGUGCACUAUAAACCCAAAAAGGAUAGGUAUGUAGUGUCAAUUUUUGAAGAGGGUCAUAAUCAUGAAUUAACCCCGUCUAGGUAUGUGCACUUACACCCCACUUAUCGGCAAAUUUCUGAAACAGAUAGAGCUCAAAUUGAUGGUCUUCAGUCACGUGGAAUUAGAACAUGUCAUAUAAUGGGAUACAUGGUUGCUCAGAAGGGUGGAUAUUCUAGUGUUGGGUUUACAAAGAAAGAUCUUUACAAUUAUUUUGAUAAAAAAAUGCGUGACAUUAUUAAAGAUGGUGAUGUUGCCGCUUCUCUAAAUUAUCUAAAUGUAAAAACAUCUACUGAUCCCAUGCUCUAUGCUGAAUAUGCCGUCAACAACAAUGAUGGACGAAUGAAGUCUAUUUUUUGGGCUGAUGGGAGUAGUAGAUCUGACUAUUUUUGUUUUGGUGAUGUGCUUGCCUUCGACACAACUUACCAAAAGAACAAAUACAACUACCCAUUGGUUAUAUUUUCAGGGUGUAACCACCACUCCCAGAUAGUUAUUUUUGGUGCUGCAAUAGUAUCGGAUGAAACGACAGAGACAUAUAAGUGGGUGUUGAAAUGUUUUUUAGAGUGCAUGGAAAAGAAACACCCAAAAGCAGUGGUGACAGAUGGAGAUGAGGCUAUGAGGGAGGCUAUAAAACAUGUUUUUCCUAAUGCGACCCAUCAGUUAUGUUCUUGGCAUUUGAAUAAGAAUGCAAGUGAUAAUGUAAAGAAUUCAGAAUUUUUGGCAGGUUUUAAAAAAGCCAUGUACUCAAAUAUUACAAAGGAUGAAUUUGAAGAGUUUUGGUCAGAGCUGAUUAAAGAAAAUAAACUUGAACGAAAUCCUUGGGUUGCCAAAACGUAUGCGAACAAGUCAAUGUGGGCAACUGCAUAUCUACGUGAUAAGUUUUUUGGAUGUUUUAGAACAACGUCUCAAUGUGAAGCUGUUAAUGCAAUAAUCAAGAGUUAUACCAGGAAGAAAUGCUCCAUUUUUGAAUUUAUACACAAUUUUGAGCAGGCUCUGAGGGACUACAGAAACAAUGAAGUGGUUGCUGAUUUUAAAUCAAAGUGUACAGAACCUGUGUUGACAACUCACCUGCAUUUGAUUGAGAGUGAUGCCGCUAAAGUUUAUACGGCAGAGAUUUUCAUUGAAGUUAAAGAUCAAAUUAUGAAGGUUGGUGCAUUGAUUGUUAAGGAUAAACAUGAAGUUGGGGAUACGAAGAUUUAUACAUUGAAAAAGUAUUGUCAGGAUAAUUAUGAAAGAGAAGUUGUUUAUGAUGGUUCAACAUUUUAAUGUUCGUGUAGGUUAUUUGAUUUUCGUGGCCUUCCCUGUUCUCAUAUUUUUUAUGUCAUGAAGGAAGAAAAUAUUGACCACAUUCCUAGAAGUUUGGUAUUGUCGCGUUGGACGAAGGAUGCCAAAAUUGAAUAUUUGAACAUGGAUUGUAAUGAUACAGUUGAUUCGAAUAUGAUUGAGCUUGCUCGUUUUGGUGCAUAUUGUUCUGUUUUGACCCGUUUUUGCAAUAAAGCUUCUAAAAAGAGUGGUGUUUAUCAAGAAAUAAUGGAUGACAUCAUGAAUUUAGAAAAAAAGUAUUGCAGUAAUGAUGAUCCUACUGGGACACAAAAGUCAGCCGUAGGUGAUUCAAUUGCGGUGAAGGGUAAAGGUGCUUAUUUUCAUUGCCAAUUUGUAUACGUUGUUUUAUUCAAAGCAGUUUAUUGCUUAUUUUCAUUGCCAAUUUGUAUUAUGUCAAAAGAUCAAAACUGAGGUGAUUUUAUAUUCCAAACAGAGUUGAUAGUGUGUCUGUGUUUCUAUGAUGAUUUUGUUCGAAUUUAUAUGAAAUGUUUCUUCAAAAUUCAUAAGCAAACAAUUUGUGUGGAAUCUGGUUUGCAACAAUUAUUAUUCUGUCAAAAGAUAAUGGAUAAAUAUUAAACAUUAUUCUUUUUCUUAAAAUUUAGACAAGUGUGCAUUCGUUGAAUUUCGCAAGUAAAAUUGGUCUUACCAUAUAGCAGUGUUGUUAAUUUUUUACUUAUUACUCCACAACUUCACUGACAACAACGAACCAAAAGAUUAUGACUCCACCGCUUCAACCCCUAGAGUGGAGCGUAAACAAUUAGGUAAAAGAAUACCAGCAACUGAAAGAAACCUCCUACAUCCACCACCGAAAAGGUGCACUAAAAACCUGAAGCUAAGAGAAAAUCAACACUUAAGGAAAUGCUUACAGGGUUAACACCCUUAACGCAACACAACCUGAAGCUAAGAGAAAAAGCACCGCUAGAGCUGUAACUCAUUAUGUUAACUAAGCUUCCAUUAUUGUUCAAAGCAUAUUAAGAUUGUGGUCUAUCAAACACCAAGCUCCCCUUAUCAUCCAUUUCCACAGUUUAAAAUACAACGGAAUUAUAAUCAACUUCAAUUUUGAAUACAAACCUAAUCCCCAAAUUGUUCCUUUUUGGGUAACAAUUCAAAUCAACUUCAAUUUUAAAAUACAAGCCAAAUACCCAACUUCAACUUAAAAUACAAACCCAAAAACCAAUUCAAUAAUUUCUGUGUAAUAACUAAAAUCAAUUUCAUUUUGGGAAAAUAUACGUAUUACCUGUGAAAGGAGACGACGACAUUGAAGAAGAAGAAGAAGAAGAAGAAGAAGAAGAAGAAGAAGAAGAAGAAGAGAUGGAGGAAGAAGGACGGACGUCGGUGGACGGUGGACGAAGAAGGACGGAGGACGACGGAACUCGCCGGAGAAGUUCUGAUCCUUUCGAACUGUGGAAAUUAUUUCGUCAAAUAUAAAUUGUUUUUAAUUUUGUAAAUUAUUGUUUCUCAAAUAUAAGUUGUUUUUAAUUUUGUCAAAUAUAAAUUGUUUUUAUUUUGUAAAUUAUUGUUUUUGACUAUUGUAAAUUAUUGUUAAUUAUAAACUUAAUAGGGGACUUAUAUGCAAUAAUAAGAAGUUUUAUAUAAAAAAGGCUUACCAUGGACUUGCCACACUAUAUUUGCUUAUGUGGCAUUAGCUCAUUUUCUAUUGGUCAAUUCAAGUGAUUCUAUCAAAAUAGUCAAUUUAGAGACUCUAUCAUAGAAUCUCCCUUAAUAGAAUCAUAGACCACUGUAUACAUUAAAUGUUGGAGUUUAUCUCUAAAAUUUUGACUAUCAAAUUAGACUAUUUUAGACUUUUGUUGCAACAUGUUUUUAAAUUUUUUUAGUCUUUUAAUAUUAAAGAUAGUUUACCGUAAAUUUGUUUAAAUCCAUACCCUACUUUGUAUAUAGUUAAUGAACAAGACUAAGCAUCUAUGAAACACGUACUUGUAAGACAUUCAUAUAACACGUGUCGGACAAGUGUUUUUAUAAAGAUUUGUUUUUUGUUNNNNNNNNNNNNNNNNNNNNNNNNNNNNNNNNNNNNNNNNNNNNNNNUUUGUUUUUACUCUCCUUUUACACAUACAUUUUGAUUAUCAAUUUAGAUCUUUCAUAAAUAUGUAGCGGUGUCGGUGUUCUAUAUUUUUUAUAUUAGCAGUGUCGACGUGUACGUAUCCAUGUGUCGUGUCAGGUGUCCAUAUCAGAGUCUUGCUUCAUAGCUACCCAUAUAUCAAUUUUGUUAAUAAUUUUAUUCUUCAAAGUUGUUAUAUAGCAUGCAUUCUAAUAUAAUAAUAAAAUUUUGCAGCAGAAAUACACCAUGUCUCUGAUUAUGCUCAAUAUGCCGGUCUUCUUGUUCGUUAUGGGGUAAAGAAGUUAGAGGAAGCUGAUGGAACUUGGAAGGAUACAUGUACCUGAUUGGUUUUGCAAAGUCUUACACAAAGUUGAAAGGUAAAAGAACAAACUCAUUUUAAAUCGAGAUCGUUUGCAACUAAAAGUUUAUGAAACUGAUCAAAAAACUGAAAAGGUCAGUGAUGAUGUGUUUGCAUGGCUAAAAGAAGCAUACAUACUCUUACAAGAGAUGGAGAAUCUGAAAACACAACCAGAAGUAUCAUCAUGGAAUGAAUUUAACAAAUUGCAGGAAAGAAUAAAGGCACUCAAUGGGAAAUGUAAAUUUGACCCAUUUUCAACUCCAAUUCUAAAUUUAAAGCGCUUCUCUUCUGAAAAUAAUUUUAUGUGUUUUAAGUCUACAGAGAAGGCUUCUGAUGAACUUUUAGAGGCACUACAAGAUGAUAAGUGUUCGAUAAUUGGAUUGUACGGUCAGUGGCGGUACUCGGACCCUGGACUAGGGGGUGCAUUUUUAAUCGAUAUUUUAAUAAUUAUAAUAUAAAUAUCUAUAGAUGCACAUUCAUAUAUAAUAUAUUCAAAAAUUACAUUGUACUCAAAAAAUUACAUAUAUAUGUUUUACAACUGCUGCUACGCGGAUUCAAAUUUUAAAAUCGUUGAAUAACCAACUUAUUAUCAACAUUGUUGAGCACGUCUCUUUCAACAUAGAUCACGAGACAAUGGUUCAACCAUUCAUCCCCGAAGAACUUUUUUUUUGUCAAAAAAAAAAGUACCAAGAAAUUGUUAUAGAGAUCUUUAAAUUAUUAUAAGUUAACUUAUUUUUUAAAUUAUUAUAUUGCUAGUUAACUUGUCCCAAAGAAGAGAACAAGACCUACAUAAUGUUAAAUAGAAACAGUAAACAUAGAAAGCUCGAGAUAAACUUAGAAAAAGAGAAAAAAGCAUGAGACAUUCAAGCAGAAACAACAUGUAAAAAAAACGAGAAGGACAAACUUAAAAUAUAGAAAGAAGAAAAUAAAAACGAGAAUGACAAAAUAUAUGAUAAGCAAAAUAAAUGGAGAAAUAAAAGAUAACACAAAUAAAUUAAAAGAUUUGGUUCUAUAUAUUAUUAUUGGCAAGUGUCAAUCAGAUGACAUAAAUAUCUAAUUGGUCAAGUGAAAUGGGUUGAAACUUUAAGCUUUGGUGCAAACCAAACUUUCCAGGGGAUUCAAAGUAGAUAUAAUAUACAAUUUAGGUGCAAAUAGCAAAAAUCCAGGGUGUGCAGCUGCACACCCUCACCCUCAAAGGGAACCGCCCCUGUGUACGGUAGACAGGGUUCUGGUAAAACAGCAUUGGUGAAAGCAAUGGGUAAGAAAGUCGAGCAUUUAAAGAUGUUUUAUGAGGUUUUGUUUCUCAAUAUGACCCAAAACCCAAAUAUCACAACAUUGCAAGAUGAAAUUGCUGACUUGUUGAAUAUCAGAUUUGAUAGAAACAGUGAAGCCAAGAGAGCAAGAAGAAUAGUCUCCACAAUAGAAAAUAUGAACCGUCCAAUACUUGUGAUCUUUGAUGAUGUUCGGGCAAAAUUUGACCUAGGACAUGUUGGCAUUCCUUGUAACAGUAAUCAGUGCAAGGUCCUUUUGACCACACGUUGCAAACAAGAUUGUGACUUAAUGCACUAUCAAAGGAAGAUUCAACUUGAUUCCUUAUCAACAGAGGAAGCUUGUACUUUGUUCAAAGUAUAUUCAGCCAUUCAUCAUGAAAAGAACUCUGAAUUAUUGAAUGUAACACGUGAAGUUGCUAUUGAAUGUUGUUGUGAAUUCGAUUAACUCACACCAAUAACCUUUGAUGUGUGGAGCAAAAUAGAAUUAAGCAACCAAAUAAGCAAGAACGACGGUAAUAUCAAACAACAUAGUAAACAAUGGAAACAAUAAAGAACAUAGAUAAUUUGUUUACCCAGUUCGGUUAUAACAACCUACUCUGCGGGAGAGCGCCACUCUCCGUUCCACUAUCAAUAGAAAACUUAAUUACAAAAGAUUCUCCACAAGAGUUACAAGAAUUAGACUUCAAUCCUAAUUCUACCCUUUGCCCGAAUCUCUCCCCGUGACCAAGAGAUUCUAUGAAAAGUGUUUCCCAAGGUGUUAGAAUGUUUCCCCAACCCUAGAGUCUUCCAAAGAACUUGUUCUUAUAACCCUAGUUUGUUUGUUGGCCUCAGAAACCCUAAAAACCUCAUAAAAAUACAGAAAACGCAAAACAGUGUAUUUAUAAACCUGCGCCCGCGCCCCGCGCAGGUAGGGCUGCGCCCAGCGCAGCUAGCAGAGGCAAAACUCCAUGUUCCAAUCUUGCCUGUGCCCCGCUCAGGCAGCAGGAACCAAACCUUAUUUUUUCUGCUUCUUCCAAAUCAAAGGCAAAUUCCAACAAUUUCCACCUUGCCUUUUAAUUGAUGGUGAUGUCAACUUCCCACCAACCAUCAUGCUGCUCUCUCCAAGAUCACACCACACCCUCUUCGAACCUCGGAGUGAACCGCUUCGUACUCUCGAAGAAAACACUUGCCUCCAAUUGUCCUUGGAAUUUUAGGACAACCCUACAAGCUCCACCGUACCCUCUUCAGCCCCCGAAUUGUUCAUGUCCGUCCUCCUGAAGAAUUGCUUGCCUCUCAACUUAACUUUGGAAUUUUAAGUAAGUUCCACAAGCUGCAACAUCAGACUCUCCUUGUAUCCAACUACCUCCAGCAGUCCUACAAGUUCCCAAGUCUGAUCACCGUUGCUUCCAAUUGCCUCCCUGAAGUUCUUCAACAUGUUUUGCACUUCUUCAGCCAUAAUCGGAACAUAAUCCACAAGGUCUCCAUAGCUAAACUCCUUUGGUGCAACACUACCACUCUCCUCCCUAUCUCCUAGAUAGCCAAGAGCUAAUGUUGAUUUUCUUUUUCUAGUCCCACUAGUAAAAGACUCCACCUCAAACCGAGUUCAUCCACCAAAGUCUUUAAACGAGUACUUCCACUAUGUCUGAUCAGUGCAUUUUUAAUGCACUUUUAUUCAUCAUGUGCUAUGGCAAUUUUAUAACUUCUCCUAGUAUUUUAGUGUUUUUAUCAUGUUUUCUAUUUAGAGUCUAGUUUUGCUAUUUAUUUUCGUAAUAAACAGUAAUUUGACACCUUCUCAUUCCGCAGACCAUAUCUGGAGCUAGGAAUAUCGGAUCGAGGCGUGCAAAAAUGCGUUGGAAAGCUAAGAUAGAGAGCUACAACUUUCAUGUUGAAGUCAAACGCCAAUUCAGAGCGCAAGGGAGUCAUAUUUACUCGUCAAGUUUCAGACUUACAAAGAUUUAAUUAUUUCCAGCAUAACUUAUGUUUUUCGGCCCAAUUGUUUUGUGGCCCGUUUUACUUGAUGUAUAAAAACUGAAAUAUGACCUAGGUCAACGAAUUCUGUCACUUUCGAACUCAAAACCCUAAGCCAGCCGCCAUGCUAAUGGAGAACUAAUCUCUCUUUCAAUUCGUUGGUGUAAGGAACUCGAUUAAGAUUCUUGAGGUCUGAUUCUAAUAGCAAUUUCGUUCUCUAUUUAUGCUUUCUAUUAUCAAUUUCGUUUCUUGUCCACUGUAUGAAUUUCGAUUAAGAUGAUUGCUUAAUUAUUAUAUUCGAAUUUAUACAGCAGAUUUAUUCGUUUUAAUCCAUCGCUUGUUUAGAUUAAUCCGAAUAGAAAUUGAUAUAGUUUCGCGCUUCGCAAUAGGUUGAUCGAAUAUGUCAUGAUAUUGACCGUGUUCUGUGACGCUUGUUCACUUUAUAUGGUUGGUUGAACGCAUGAGAUGCUUAAUCGAAUGAAUUCGUUUGUAAAACUGAUUGUCGCUUGUAUAAUUAGUUUUAUAAAUCAACCAGAGCAUAAACAGUUGAAUGAAUAAUCUUAUGAACCCAUGAUAGAAUUAAGAUCGAGUUACCUGAGACCAAUGAAUUGAUCGUGUUAAAUCAUUUGAAUUUCAUAUUCUUUAUUCCCUGUUUGCAAAACAAACACCCCAUAUUUUAUAAUUUUCAAAUCGCUUCUAAUAUUGUUAAACUGAUUGUGAGUCUUUGGGAAACGACCAAGGUUAACUACCUUGUACUACUUUUAAUUUAAACUUAUUUUGAUCAAUGUCUUCCACCUUGUAACUGAGUAUUCUUAGCACCGCCUCUCCAGGCUGAUGUUGAGUAUUAUUCCACCGCCUCUCCAGGCCGAUGUUGAGUAUUAUUACCACCGCCUCUCCAGGCUGAUGUUGAGUAUUAUUCCACCGCCUCUCCAGGCCGAUGUUGAGUAUUAUUACCACCUCCUCUCCAGGCUGAUGUUGAGUAUUAUUCCACCGCCUCUCCAGGCCGAUGUUGAGUAUUAUUCCACCGCUUCUCCAGGCCGAUGUUCUUCUAUGGUUCCCGACUUGUAACUAUGAGUGCUCCCGCACUCUCAUAGCCUUCCUCACACUUCUGUUGAAACAAUACUGCCAUCAUCUUCACCUUCCACAAACCAAAGUCGUUACUCCCGGUGAAUUUCUCAAUUUCCCACUUAGAACCCAUGGUACUUAAUUCGUUUGAUCCUUUGCCCCACGGUGGGCGCCAAUUGUCGUGAAUUCGAUUAAAUCACACCAAUAACCUUUAGUGUGUGGAGCAAAUACGAUUAAGCAACCAAAUAAGCAAGAACGGUGGUAAUAUCAAACAACAAAGUAAACGACGGAAACAAUAAAGAACACAGAUAAUUUGUUUACCCAGUUCGGUUAUAACAACCUACUCUGGGGGAGAGAGAGCCACUCUCCGUUCCACUAUCAAUAGAAAACUUGAUUACAAAAGAUUCUCCACAAGAGUUACAAGAAUUAGCCUUCAAUCCUAAUUCUACCCUUUGCCCGAAUCUUUCCCCGUGACCAAGAGAUUCUAUGAAAAGUGUUUCCCAAGGUGUUAGAAUGUUUCCCCAAUGCUAGAGUCUUCCCAAGAACUUUUUCUUAUAACCCUAGUUUGUUUGUUGGCUUCAGAAACCCUAAAAACUCCAUAAAACUACAGAAAACGCAAAACAAUGUAUUUAUAAAUCCGCGCCCGCGCCCCGCGCAGGUAGGGCUGCGCCCAGCGCAACUAGCAGAGGCAAAACUCCAUGUUCCAAUUUUGCCUGCGCCCCGCUCAGGCAGCAGGAACCAAACCUUAUUUUUUCUGCUUCUUCCAAUUCAAAGGCAAAUUCCAACAAUCUCCACCUUGCCUUUUAAUUGAUGGUGAUGUCAACUUCCCACCAACCAUCAUGCUGCUCUCUCCAAGAUCACACCACACCCUCUUCAAACCCCGGAGUGAACCGCUCCGUACUCUCGAAGAAAACACUUGCCUCCAAUUGUCCUUGGAAUUUUAGGACAAUCCUACAAGCUCCACCGUACCCUUUUCAGCCCCCGAAUUGUUCAUGUCUGUCCUCCUGAAGAAUUGCUUGCCUCUCAACUUAACUUUGGAAUUUUAAGUAAGUUCCACAAGCUGCAACAUUAGACUCUCCUUGUAUCCAACUACCUCCAGCAGUCCUACAAGUUCCCAAGUCUGAUCACCGUUGCUUCCAAUUGCCUCCCUGAAGUUCUUCAACAUGUUUUGCACUUCUUCAGCCACAAUCGAAACAUAAUCCACAAGGUCUCCAUAGCUAAACUCCUUUGGUGCAACACUACCACUCUCCUCCCAAUCUCCUAGAUAGCCAAGAGCUAAUGUUGAUUGUCUUUUUCUAGUCCCACUAGUAAAAGACUCCACCUCAAACCGAGUUCAUCCACCAAAGUCUUUAAACAAGUACUUCUGCUAUGUCUUCCACCUUGUAACUGAGUAUUCUUAGCACCGCCACUCCAGGCUGAUGUUGAGUAUUAUUCCACCACCUCUCCAGGCCGAUGUUGAGUAUUAUUCAACCGCCUCUCUAGGCCGAUGUUGAGUAUUAUUACAACCGCCUCUCCAGGCUGAUGUUGAGUAUUAUUUCACCGCUCUCCAGGCCGAUGUUGAGUAUUAUUCCACCGCCUCUCCAGGCCGAUGUUCUUCUAUGGUUCCCGACUUCUAACUAUGAGUGCUCCCGCACACUCAUAGCCUUCCUCACACUUCUGUUGAAACAAUACUGCCAUCAUCUUCACCUUCCACAAACCAAAGUCGUUACUCCCGGUGAAUUUCUCAAUUUUCCACUUAGAACCAUGGUACUUAAUUCGUUUGAUCCUUUGCCCCACGGUGGGUGCCAAUUGUUGUGAAUUCGAUUAACUCACACCAAUAACCUUUGAUGUGUGGAGCAAAAUAGAAUUAAGCAACCAAAUAAGCAAGAACGACGGUAAUAUCAAACAACAAAGUAAGCGACGGAAACAAUAAAGAACACAGAUAAUUUGUUUACCCAGUUCGGUUAUAACAACCUACUCUGGGGGAGAGAGCCACUCUCCGUUCCACUAUCAAUAGAAAACUUGAUUACAAAAGAUUCUCCACAAGAGUUACAAGAAUUAGCCUUCAAUCCUAAUUCUACCCUUUGCCCGAAUCUCUCCCCGUGACUAAGAGAUUCUAUGAAAGUGUUUCCCAAGGUGUUAGAAUGUUUCUCCAACCCUAGAGUCUUCCCAAGAACUUGUUCUUAUAACCCUAAUUUGCUUGUUGGCCUCAGAAACCCUAAAAACAUCAUAAAAAUACAGAAAACGCAAAACAGUGUAUUUAUAAACCCGCGCCCGCGCCCCGCGUAGGUACGGCUGCGCCUAGCGCAGCUAGCAGAGGCAAAACUCCAUGUUCCAAUUUUGCCUGCGCCCCGCUCAGGCAGCAGGAACCAAACCUUAUUUUUCUGCUUCUUCCAAUUCAAAGGCAAAUUCCAACAAAUGUGACGGGUUACCUGAAAAUAUUAUUAAGACGGGAUCUUCUUUAAAAAAUAAACCUAUGGAGGAAUGGAAAGCUUCGCUAGACAAUUUGAAAAACUCAUUUGUUUAAUGGCAGAUGUUCCUCAGUUUUAGAGGGGAAGAUACUCGCUUCUCUUUUACAUGAUUUCUUUAUCAAGCUUUAUGCCAAGGGGGAUUCAAGCCUUUCAUAGAUAAUGAAGAAUUGCACACUGGAGAUCAUAUUGCAUCUUGUCUUAAAAAUGCAAUUGAAAGAUCAAGGCUUUCGAUUAUUGUUUUAUCAGAAAACUAUGCAAGUUCUUCAUGGUGUCUUGAUGAACUUGUCAAGAUUUUUGAAUGUGCGGAAUUGAAGAGCCAAUUAGUUUGGCCAAUCUUUUACAAAGUAGAUCCAGCAGACAUAAGGCAUUUGAGAAACAAUUUUGGCAAAGCCAUGGCUGAUCAUGAAAAAGAACUUGGAGUUGACUCAGAAAAAAUACAAAAAUGGAAGUCGGCUUUGUCAAAAGUGCCUGUUUUGUCGGGAAAGCCUUACACAACCGGGUAUGUAAUACACUUCCAUGGCAUAUAUACUUCAAUUUGAUUUAUCCCAUGUUAACCAAUUCCCACUCUACUAUAGUGAUGUUUAGAAUGAGUUCAGGCAGGGACGGAUCCAGAUAUUUAAUAAUGGUGUGGCCAAAUAUCAAAGAAAUUAUACGCUAAAUUAUAUUGAAAAUAAGAAAUAAUUUUUUUUUUUUUUGAAGAAGCCAAAGAAAUAUAUUAAAAAUAAGCACAAGUUGUGCCUAAAAAUAAGGUUCGUACACAAAGAAACCAACAAAGUACAGGAUUAUCCUGUGUUAAGUCCUAUACAAACUUUUGGAUCUAACAUCCAAUGAUUUAAAUCGUAACAGAAGCCUUUUUUCUUAGCCUUAAACCACCACCAUACUUGAACUUUGAUGGUAAAAAUUAACCUGUCAAUAGAUAUUGUCUUGCCAUUAAAAACUCUAUCAUUUCUCGCUUUCCAAAUAGACCAAAUUGAAGCUAGCCAAAUUGCUUGCAAACCCGACUUAGUAUUUUUACGAAAACCAUCAGACCCACAAAAUUGGGAUGCCAAUGCUAUUGCAUUAUCAGGAAGAACACAUGUGAUCCCCAACCAGGAGAUGAUGUUACUCCAAACCGCGCCAAAAACGGGACAAUUCAGAAAAAGGUGAUGAACAUCCUCAAUAGCAUCACAACCAACUGAGCACAAUAGGGAAUCAUUACGUAAACAACCUCGCGUGAAUAGAUUAAGCUUUGUGGGUAACCUGUCAUUGACACACCGCCAAGCAAAAGUUGAAACCUUUGAUGGAACAAGCUUAUUCCAAAUAAGAUCGUUGUGAGUAGACAACUCUCGCGGAUGCAACAAUUCAGAAAAAGGUGAUGGACAUCCUCGAUAGCAUCACAACCAACUGAGCACAACAUGGAAUCAUUACGUAAACAACCUCGCGUGAAUAAAUUAAGCUUUGUGGGUAACCUGUCAUUGACACACCGCCAAGCAAAAGUUGAAACCUUUGAUGGAACAAGCUUAUUCCAAAUAAGAAAUAAUAUUGUUUAAUGCAAUACAUUUACGAUAAAAAUUGUCUAUCAUCCAUUUCUUGAAAAUGAGUUAAAAUAACAUCAUUGCUUAUUUGUUUCGAGUGGCGGAGGUACAUUAACAUAUUGGGAUGGGCCGCAACAAAGUUUGAAUUUAUGGGGUUAAAAAUGAACAAACUGUUAAUCUUGACGAGUCUCAAUAACAUAUUAAAUGAAAAAGAAACUCAAGAAAUUAUAAAUACUAGAUUUUUUUUAUUUUGUUAAACUCAGUCCUCUGGUUACUAAAACAUUGAUUGGAGAAUUUUUUUUAUUGAAAAAGAUAAAUUCAAUCUAAAAAUUCAUAGACCAUUAACAAUCGAAUAAUGUUACAUCGUUCAAUAACGUCUAAAUACUUAUAUAAUCAUGUAAAAUUUUAAGGAAAUUUAAAAUAAUUUCAUAUGAUAUUGAACUCCAUUAAGGUUAUCAGUGUUCAAUAAAAAUAUAUAAAUGCUUAAUCUUGAUAGGUCUACGAUACACGGAUCGAACACCUCAAUUAUAGUGCAGAGAAUUUUACCACCAAGCUUCAUGGACUCUUGUGAUUAAAAUUAACGAUAAUAUGUAUAUAUACCAUAAUAGUAACAAAAAUGUGUAUAUAUAUACCUAUUAAAAAUGAAAAUUCCACUGUGGCCAAGGCCACAGUCGACCUCAAUGUAGGUCCGUCCCUGAGUUCAGGUUCCCUCCAUUGGAUAAAUUCUUCAUUUAGCCUGUUGAUUACAUAAUAUACCAUUGUUUUUGAAGAUUUGUUAAUUGUUAAAUAAGAAAUUUAGUCUUCUUCACACACCUAUCAAUUUAAGCAUGAUAUUUUGCACAAAUUUAGACAUGAAAUAUUUUGUUUCUAAGUUUUCCGGUACAGAUUUUUAUAUUAUACGUGAUCAUUUGUUCUUGUGAAAAAUUUAUCGUCAUAUUUAACUAUAUACUACUUUUCUACGAAAAAAAUACUAAAAAGUAAAAUAGUUGUAAUUUAAAGAUCUUGCACAUGAUUUUGCAGGUACGAAUAUGAAUUUAUCCAAAAGAUUGUGGAAGAUGCCAAGCAUAUUGAAAAUCGUUUGCAAAUUGAACUAGAAGAUCAUAGAAGCAAAUUAAAAAUCGUUUUGCAUGGCAAUCGUUUUUAGAACUAAUUGGAACCAUAUAAAUUGUCUUUAGCAAGUUGUUCAUAUAUAUUUUGGUUGUAAUUUUGUUUUGUUUUAUAUUUUUACAAGUCUUUUGCUUUGUAAAAAAAAUGUAAGUUAUAUCUACCAUUUUUUUUUUGUGUUGAGUCUAGUUUCAAAAAUUGAAACCAGAUUCUUUUGAAUAAUUCUUUUUAGAAGAAGUUCAAUCUUUUGAGUCAAAAAAGAAAAGAAAGAAGUUCAAUCAUUAAUUAUAGGCAAAAUGUAUCCAUAAGUCCUUUAAGUUUUACAUUUAUAAUAAAAAUAGAUUUUUAAGUUUUACGUUUGUAUUAGAUAUAUUCUUUAUAUUUGUAAUUUGCAAGGACCUAUUUAUUACAAACGUAAAACUUAAUUAAUUAAUGUUAUCCACAAAAUUCAACAUUCUUCAACUAUUAAUUAAUUAUUUUUUGACAAAUUUAAUUAAUUAAUUAUUAAAAAUAUAAAAUCAUAAAACGAGUAUAUCAACUAUCAAUAUUUUUUUUUGGGCAGUAUCAACUAUUAAUUAUUAAAAAUAUAAAAUCAUAAAAUAAAAUAACAUCACUUUUUUUCUGGUAUAUUAUAUAUAUAAUAAAAUACAUCACUUUUUUAAUAUAAAAAAACCGGAUGAAUUUUUUUUUUUUUAAUAAGAAUGUAGAGUCCAUUAAAUCAAUUUUUCGGUACUANNNNNAAAAAAAAAUAUAACAAAACUUGAUUUUUAGUUCUAAAAAUAAAAAUAAAAUAUUUUCAACCUCUACAAUUUUCUGUUUCAUUUUUUGUCUCAAAUAGACAUAAUUGACAUAUCAAACAUAGUAGAAACAAAAAUUCUCUGAGGAAUACAUGUGUUGUUGUUUCUCCGUGAUUUCUUGGCUUAUUUUCCAAGCCCACACGUUUUUAUACUCUUCUUCCUCUUCUUCUUCUACUAGUUCCUUACUUCGCUGAAAAAUCAAAUUAAACCCGUGGACCAAUUCCUUCUUUCUGUUAUGAAAUAUAUAUAGAUGAGUAAAGUGAAGUAAUGGGUUCACAACAAACUUUAUAAGAUAACUCUAUAUCCAUUAUUUUAUUUGUUGACUUUCUUUGUUUAAUUUGAAGUUAACAAACAAUCAUGUCUGGCUGCUGCAACAGUAUGGGUGAGUUCAAUUUCCUUUCUUCUUUAUUUUUAUAAUAAAAAAUUCAAUUUCCUUUCUCUCGCUUCAAUUAUUUUCUUUAUAUAUAUAUAUAUAUAUAUAUAUAUUUCACAUAAUGCUCAAAAUAAUUAAAAUCAUAAAACAAAAAUAAAUAAAAAUAUUUAAGUUAAGGAUUUCUGUCAAAAAAAAGUUAAGGAUUAAGGUCCGUUUGGAUUAGCUUAUUUAUGAGCUUAUGCAAACAGUUUAUGAAAUUUUUAUGUAUUACUAUUAGUUUGUCAAGGUAGUUUAUGAUAAAAUAAUUUAUAAAAAUACAAUUUUCACUAGUGGGAACUUAUAAAAUAUCAUAAAACCUAAUUUAUAUUGCAUAAGCUGUUUGCAUAAGCUUAAAAAUAAGCUAAUCCAAACGGACCCUAAAUAUGUUUUAGGUCUUAUAAAAUGGGAGUUUACUUAUUUUUUUAUAAUAUUUUUAGUCUCUAUAAAAUUUUCAUAAAUUAUUCAAAAAUAUAGGCUGAUUUAACAGUAGAGACGAAAAGUGAGUGCAAUAUAAUUUUCUAGGGACUAAAAAUUUAAUAAAAAUUAAGUAUCAACUAAACUUAUAAAGUCACCAUUUUGUCGAUAACAAAAACACAUAUUUAACUCUUAAGAAAUAUAUAUAUAUAUAUAUAUGGGUUUUGCUAAUACACACCCACUCUUUUUUAUGAAGGUGUGCAUUAGCAACAUACACCUUAGGGUGUAUUUAGCCACUUUUUAGUUAUCAUUUGCUAACACACACCUUCUAAAAAAUAAGUGGGUGUAUUAUAGUAAAUGCUUAUAGGAGUUGCUAACAUACACCCACUUAUUUUCUAGAAGGUGUGCAUUAGCAACAUACACCUUAGGGUGUAUUUAGCUACUUUUUAGUUAUAACUUGCUAACGCACACCUUCUAAAAAAUAAGUGGGUGUACGUUAGCAAAACCCUAUAUAUAUAUAUAUAUAUAUAUAUAUGAAAUAAUGUAGAAAGUCUUUCAUGGUGCAUGUGAAUGAAUAACAGUAUAACGAAUACGAAUUUUACAAAUUUAUUAUUGGAUUGAAAGUUUAUAUCAUAUAGAUCAUCGAUAAUUUUUUUAAAGAAAUUGAAAACCAAUUGGUAUGUUAUUGAGAUCCAUCAAAAUUAACGGUUUAUGGAUUUUUUUUUAUUGAAUACCUUUAGUUUUGGUGGGUCUCGAUAACAUACUAAAUUAUUUUUAAUUUUCUUAAAAACAAAAUCGUGGAAGGUCUAUAUUAUAUAAAUUUUCAAUUCAACGGUGGAUUUUAUAAAAUUUGUAUUAGUUAUAAUGUUAUUCACUACUUGUGCAUCAUGCACCACUUGAAGGACUUGUGCAUGUUGGAUGUCGCCAUAUAUAUAUAUAUAUAUAUAGAGGAUGGAUCAAAUUACACCGGUGUAACAUUUGAGUAGUGUUACACCGCUCAAUAACGCUUUAACGAAUACAAAUUUUAUGAAAUCCACCAGAUGAGGGAUCAAAUUACACCGGUGUAACAUUUGAGUAGUAUUACACCGGUGUAACAUUUGAUUAGUGUUACACCGCUCAAUAACGCUUUAACGAAUGCAAAUUUUACGAAAUCCACCGUUGGAUUGAAAGUUUAUAUCGUAUAGAUCAUCUAUAUCAAAUUUUAUAAAAAUCUAAAAUCGUUUGAUAUGUUAUUGAGACGAAUCAAGAUUAAUGGUUUGUGUGUAUAUUGAUGACGAAUCGUCACACUCUCUAAUCCAUGCCUAUUUUAGCAACAUUAGAUGCAUUUUAGUAGGUUUNNNNNNNNNNNNNNNNNNNNNNNNNNNNNNNNNNNNNNNNNNNNNNNNNNNNNNNNNNNNNNNNNNNNNNNNNNNNNNNNNNNNNNNNNNNNNNNNNNNNNNNNNNNNNNNNNNNNNNNNNNNNNUAUAUAUAUAUACACACACACGUUGAAAACUAUGCUGAUUUACAUAUUUCUAAAUAUAAAAUUUUGCAAUGCAUAUACAUAUACUUAUUCUAUAUUAUUUUUCCAGUGGUACUAGGGUGUGCAUUACUGCUACUUCGAAUUGAUUUGAAAAAAGAAAUGAACCGAUUGGUUACAAAUCGAGAUCUUGUGCUUGAUAAAGUCGAAACAACUCAUAAAAAAACUGAAAAGGUUAGCGAUGUUGUGUUUGAGUGGCUAAAUGAAACAGAGUUACUCAUACAACAGUUGGAGAAUCUGGAUGCACAAGAGAUACCAAGAAAACAAUUUAAAAGAUUGGUGAAAAAAGUAAUGGCACAGAACACGAAAUUACUUGAACCAUUUUCAACUCCAAUUCCAAGUUUAGAACACUUCUCUUCAGGAAAUAUUGUGUGUUUUAAGUCUAGAGAGAAGGCAUCCGAUCAACUUUUCGAUGCGCUGCAAGAUGAAAGUUGUUCUACGAUUGGAUUGUAUGGUAGAGAGGGCUCUGGUAAAACAACAUUGGUGAAAGCAAUGGGCGACAAAGUUAAGUAUUUAGAGAUUUUUCAUGAGGUUUUAUUUGUCAAGGUACCUCAAAAUACAAAUAUAAGAACAAUGCAAGAUGAAAUUGCCGAGUUAUUAAAUAUGAAAUUUGAUAAAGACAGUGAAGCUGGAAGAGCCAUAAAAAUAUUGUCAACAAUACAAGGUAUGAAUCGUAAAAUUCUAGUGAUUUUUGAUGAUGUUCGAGCAAAAUUUGACCCAGAGGAUAUAGGCAUUCCUUGUGAUGAUAAUUCCUGCAAGAUUCUUUUAACCACUUGUUGCCGACAAGAUUGUGAAUUGAUGUCAUGUCAAAGGGAGAUUCAACUUGAUCCCUUAUCUAGAGAGGAAGCUAGGAGUUUGUUCAUGAAACAUUCAGGCAUUCGUGAUGAUGAGGAUAACUCCUCCUCAUUCGACUUAUUGAAUGUGGCACGUGAAGCUGCUUUUGAAUGUGAAGGGUUACCUAGAACAAUUAAAGAGGUGGGAUCUUUCUUAAGAAGUAAACCAAUUGAAGAAUGGAAAACCACGCUAGGUAGUCUGAAACAUACAAUGGCCAAAUGGCAAAUUUUUCUCAGUUUUAGAGGAGAGGAUACACGUUACUCUUUUACGGGUUCUCUUUAUCAAGCUUUAUCUCAAGCGGGAUUCAAGACCUUCAUGGAUGAUGGAGGACUGCAUACUGGAGACCAAAUUUCACCCUCUCUUAUAAAUGCAAUUGAAGCAUCAAGGCUUUCGAUUAUUGUUUUAUCUGAAAAUUAUGCAAGCUCCUUGUGGUCUCUUGAAGAACUUGUCAAGAUUAUGGAGUGUAUGAAAUUGAAGAAUCAAAUAGUUUGGCCAAUCUUUUACAAAGUGGACCCAUCAGACAUAAGACACUUGAGAAAAUGUUAUGGCGAAGGCAUGGCUCGCCAUGAAAAUAAUUAUGGAAUUAACUCAGAGAAAGUACUAAAAUGGAAGUUAGCUUUAUUUGAAGUGUCUAAUUUGUCCGGAAAAACUUAUAAAACCGGGUAUGAAAUAUACUNNNNNNNNNNNNNNNNNNNNNNNNNNNNNNNNNNNNNNNNNNNNNNNNNNNNNNNNNNNNNNNNNNNNNNNNNNNNNNNNNNNNNNNNNNCCAAAAGCGUUUUAAUAUUCUUUAUGUUCACUUUGUUGUUUAAGUUUUGCUCCUAGUUUGAGUGCAGGUUUUCUAUUCUAUGUGAAAGCUAUAUCAAAGCUUGUUCUUGUGAAGAAAUUUGAUUGUUAUGUACAUGAAUUUGCAGGUAUGAACAUGAAUUUAUUCAAAAGAUCGUAGAAGAUGCCAAUCUUAUUAAAAGUUGUUUGCAAAUUGAUAACUCUCGUUAUUACGCACAUUAGUAUCCAUUUUUAAUGGAAUUUUAACAAGAAAAGUCUAGUUUUUGAGCUUAGAAUAAAAGAAAUUGCAUAAGGAUAUGAGAUUACUUGGUUUGGAAAAAAUCUAGAGAAAGUUGGAAAAUUGAAGCAGGAAGCCGCGCCUGGCGCGGGAUGCAUGGCGCCUGGCGCCGGAAAUUUGUGAAGAAUGGGAAUUCGCCGCGGACGGCCGCGCCUGGCGCGGGUGUGUGGCGCCUGGCGCCGGUCUGUUUGAAAAACUGAAGAAAAGUGGUGCAGAAGGCGGCGCCUGGCGCGGGCAGCGGCGCCUGGCGCGAGCAGCGGAGCCUGGCGCGGAUUUGCUGUAUCUAUAUAAAGGAAGCUCAUUUUCUUGCACCAGGUUCGGAAUUUUGGAAGGAAAAGCACUAUAGAAGCUCUGGAUCUGAUUUUUCUCAAGGAUUUUGAAGGAAGAUUCUUCAUGGAUCUUAAUUCUUGUCUUGGAUUUAUUUUCCUUGCUAUCAUGUGUAACUAAACACUUCUCGGGUUGGUCUUUCUAGGUGAUUUCAUGUAUCCAUUGUAGUGCAAUUUACUCGUAUGUAAUGAAUUAUGAUAUGAAUCUUAAUCAAUUGUCUUUGAUCUUAAUGCUUUACAUAUUUUGGCCUUUUAUGUGAUGAAUUUAGCUAUUGAUUUUACUAUGAUGAUAGGAAUUGAUAGUUGAAAAUAAGAACAAUUGAAUGAUAAAUAGUGGCUUAGAGAUAUGAAAUUGUUNNNNNNNNNNNNNNNNNNNNNNNNNNNNNNNNNNNNNNNNNNGAGAGGAUUGAUUAUCCAAGAGAUUGGAAUCAAUUACUUUGCUAAUCCUAUCUUAAGAUAAUUGAAUGAUUCGUUACAUACAAUAAGUUGCACGACUUUGUGAGAAGUGAAGGAUCCGACGUUAGACCAAUCCGUUUUUCCUUACAAAAAGUUCUACGCGUUUUUUACUCGUUUUUGCGAUAUUUGAUCUUAAAAACUCCCCCCAAUGUCCGUUACAAUUUAUUAUUUUAAGUUUAGUCCAAUUCGUUAUUGUUAAAAUUACACAAUCCCUGAGGAUCGAUAUUUUUACUACUUGCGAUUAUUCGUGCACUUGCGGAAUUGUCAUCAAGUUUUUGGCGCCGUUGCCGGGGAUUGUUGAUAAUUUCAACAAGGCAAUUGGACUUUUGUUUUUACUUUUGUUAUUGAAAAACCAAAAAAAAAUUAGUGUUAGUCUUUAAUUUUUGUUUUGAGCAAUACUAUUGAGGUAUUUUGUUGUUUUUGUUUAUGCGAGGUAAAGCACCGGAAGAACUACUAUUCGAUCCGGAAAUUGAGAAGACCGCAAAGGCAAAUAGAAAAGCAACAAAGCUAGCGAAAGAAGCCGCUAGCCAAGCACACUUUGAACAAGAAUUAAGUGAAGAGGAAGUUUCAUCUAGCUCAUUCUUCCCGGAAGAAGAACUAAUUGAAAUGGAGGAAGAGCAUGUAGUACCUCCUCCGCCUCCACCAAGAAGAACACUAGGUGAUUACGGUCAGCGGAACAAUGGUGAGACGGCCAAUUUGGGCUUUCAACCGGCAAACCCGGUAGCUUUUGAUAUCAAGAACACCGUCUUGAGUGCGUUGAAGGAGGAUCAAUACUCCGGUGCGGAAUCCCAAUGUCCAAAUCUACAUCUAGCCCAUUUCUAUGAAGCAUGUGAUUAUACGGAUCCACCGUGAGUUAGUGAAUCGAACAAGCGACUUCGUCUUUUCAAGCAUUCUCUUACCGGAAGAGCCAAAGAUUGGCUCGAUACCAUUCCUCCGGGUACAAUCAACACAUGGGGUGAAGUGGAACAAUUGUUCAAAGCUAGAUUUUUCCCGUUACACAAAUUUGUAGAAAGGCGGAAGGAAAUACAAAACUUUGAGCAAAGUGAUAAUAAAACACUUCAUGAUGCAUGGGAGAGAUUUAAGCUUAGCUUGAAAAAGUGUCCCGACCAUGGGCUAGAUAAUCUUGCCCAAAUGCAAUACUUCACCCAAGGGCUUAGACCUCAAACCCGCAUGCUUUUGGAUGCAUCGGCGGGUGGUUCCUUGAAGAAUAAGAAUGAGAUGGAAGCUAAGGAGCUCAUUGAGACUAUGGCUCAUAACGAAUACCGUGUGCAAAAUGACCGUGGAGCCAAGAAAAAAGGUGGAUUGCUUGAACUUGAUACUCAAGAUGCGGUCCUUGCUCAAACUAAGCUUCUCUCCAACCAAAUGGAGGCUUUUAUGAAGCGAUUUGAUCCGCAACAACAAGUCAAAGAGGUUCAAGAGCUUAGAUGUGACUUUUGCCAACAAGGGCAUGCAAAUGGGGGUUGUUUCCCGGAAGGCUCGGAAGAAGCUAAAUACUUGGCAAAUUUUCGAAAACCAUAUCCAAAUGGUUGGGGGAGCAACUCUAAUCAAGGUCAAGGCUACAAUUCAAAUCCUCCUCCUCCGAAACCAUCCGAAAUGGAGGAAACUCUCACUAGUUUCAUGAAGAUGACUCAAGGGAAUUUCGAGGCAAUUGCUCUCGAAAAUCAAAUGUGUCAACUCUCAAAACAAGUCUCUUCUCUACAAAAUCAAAGUGGUUUUGGUGGCAACACCACAGACAACCCUAAGAAUGAAACUUGUCAUGUCAUUAGUUUGAGGAGUAGGGAAGUGCCAUCACCGGUUGUAAAGGAGAGUAUCUUGAAAAAGAAAGUGUCUAGUGAGAGUGAGGGAGAAGUUGAAAAGAAUGAAGGAGAUGUUGUAGUUGAAAAUUCAAAAGAGUGUGGAGAAAAAAAUGACAUUGAUGGUGAGAUGGAAGAAUUAGUUGAAAAUGAGAGUGAGGGAGAAGUCGAAAAAGAGAAGGAGGUGGAGAAAAAGUCUAGUACCAAGAAAGGGAAACAAUCUCUUGUGAAUGCCUCAAAGUCUAAAAAUCCUUCACCUUAUGCUCAUAUUCCUUAUCCAAGAAGGAUGAAGGUCAAGGGUCAAGACAUGGAGUUUCGUAAAUUCAUAAAAAUACUCAAUAAGCUUGAAAUGACCAUGCCAUUUGUAGAAGCACUUGAGAAGAUGCUGGAAUACAAAAGGUUUAUGAAGGAGCUCCUUGCUAAGAAAAGGAAGUCACUUGAAGAAUACACGGUAAACUUGAAUGAGGAAUGUAGCGCUAUCCUUCAAAGAAAGCUUCCACAAAAGCAAAAGGAUCCGGGAAGCUUUACAAUCCUUGUUCUAUUGGUAAUCUUCACAUUGGAAAGGCUUUGUGCGACUUGGGUGCAGGUAUUAAUUUGAUGCCAUUGUUUAUGAUGAAACGCAUACCGGGUGCCGUGGCAAAGCCUACUAGGAUGCAACUUUCUCUUGCCGAUAGGUCAAUCACUUAUCCCUACGGUGUUCUUCAAGAUGUUUUGGUUAGGUGUGCCGACUUUGUGUUUCCGGCGGAUUUCGUGAUUCUUGAUAUGAAAGAGGAUGCCGAAGUCCCGCUCUUGUUGGGAAGACAAUUUUUAGCUACCGGAAGAGCAUUAAUUGAUGUGGAAUUAGGAGAGCUUAUGUUUAGGCUUGAUGAUGAACAAGUGUGUUUUAAAGUGUUUGAAGCCUCCAAGUUCCAUGGUAAGAUUCCGGAAUGCUUCAAAGUCGAAGUGCUUGAAGAAGUGGUAAAAGAUGUGCUUGAAGAAGAGUGGGAGCGUGAGAUUGACAUUUUUCUUCAACAAAUGGAAGAGUGUCAAGAAGAGGAAGGAUCAAAAGAGUUUAAGCCAAGUCCUCCGAUCUUACAAGAACUUCCUCCUCAUUGGAAGUAUGUGUUUUUGGGUGAAGACUAUAAGCAACCGGUCAUUAUUAGUAAUUUGCUCACUUCCUUGGAAGAAGAAGACUUCAUGAAAGAGUUGAAAAAGGAUUAUGAUGCCGUAGUGGAUGGGUUGAAUGGUACAAUUCCUAUCUUUUACUUUCAUAUGAUGAAGAAGGAAGAAAAUCUUAAUCUGGUUGUCCACUCUCAAGAAUUGGUCACACCUUCUUUAGAUGAUUUGGGGGAGCAAGAGUUAAUGCAUGCUCUUGAACCCUAUAUGGUGAAUUCUAUUUCCGAGAGCCUUCUUGCAAAUGUGGUUCAUGUUACUCAAGAGAAGAACGAGGGUGUAGAGAAAACAAAAGUCCCAAAAAGAGCACCCAAGAAGAAAAAGAAGAAGUGGAAAAACAAAAGGAAGAAACUCAAUACUCGUCCGGUAAUGGUGGACAUGUUGCUUGUUGAUCAUAAUGUGGCUCCCUUGAAGAAUGAACAAAAGAGGAGCCGGGUUGAAAACAAUCUCAAAUAUCCUCCCUAACUCGGAUUGAAGAUUCGUCAAGCUAAUGACGUCAAAGAAGCGCUUCGUGGGAGGCAACCCAUGGUUUACGGUUUUUCUCAUCUCUAGCUUUUACCGUUUUAUUGGAAUAAGUGCUUGGUACUUGUUGUUGUUACGACUUCUUACUUGCUUGUUUGUUGUCUUAAUUGAAUGUCUUGGCCUAAAUGAAAACUUGGAACUAGUUGAAUAGAUUUGGUCAUUGCUCUUAGGUACAACUUUGAUAGAUUAAUUGAAUGAUAUUGACAUGUGAAGUUCUUAAUUGGCUAUGUUUGUUGCAUGUUUGCAUGUUAAGAAAGUUUUAGGGAAUCUCUCAAACAUUGACCGCUCACAAAUCCGGCCUAGCCGUGAGAUUUUGAGCCCAUACACUCUUUUUUUUUUCUUGUACAUGAGAGUUCCGCAACUUAGCCAAUUCUCUAGAACUUGCUUUUGUUCUCUUAAUUGAUUAAUGACUAUGUCUUACACACGAGGCAAUUUCUUUGUACCUUGAGAGCCCUUGAAGCCACCCUUGCAUGUUUAUUCCUUAGUUAACCCCUUUUGAGCCGAAAGAAAAAAAAUGUGUUUCUAAAUUUAACCCAAGUGUNNNNNNNNNNNNNNNNNNNNNNNNNNNNNNNNNNNNNNNNNNNNNNNNNNGUUAGAUUACUUCCUUAAUGUUUGGAGCACAAUGCUCAACAUUAAGUUUGGGGUUGCCUUUGGAAUUGGCAACACUUUAAGUUUGGGGUGGGUACACUAGAGAACUUGAAUCAAAAAUUUGAAAAAGUUGAAAAAGUUGUGCAAAA